CCUACGGGCGGCAGCAGUGAGGAAUAUUGGUCAAUGGGCGGGAGCCUGAACCAGCCACGCCGCGUGAGGGAAGAAGGUACAGCGUAUCGUAAACCUCUUUUGUCAGGGAACAAAGGCGGGGACUAGUCCCCGGAUGAGGGUCCCUGAAGACAAAGCAUCGGCUAACUCCGUGCCAGCAGCCGCGGUAAUACGGGGGAUGCGAGCGUUAUCCGGAUUUAUUGGGGUUAAGGGGUGCGCAGGCGGCCUGUUAAGUCAGAGGUAACAGCCCGGGGCUCAACCCCGACGAGCCGUUGAAACUGGGGGGCUGGAGUUGGGGAGAGGUACGCGGAAUUCGCGGUGUAGCGGUGAAAUGCUUAGAUAUCGGGCAGAACCCCGAUGGCGAAGGCAGCGUACCGGAUCCAAACUGACGCUGAGGCACGAAAGCGUGGGUAGCGAACAGGAUUAGAUACCCUAGUAGUC
RNAcentral lists this ribosomal RNA (459 nucleotides) under uncultured bacterium. RNAcentral describes it as "partial 16S ribosomal RNA". It matches the Rfam family "Bacterial small subunit ribosomal RNA", at positions 338 to 795 of the family's 1533-position model. The record is from RNAcentral.